GUCCACAUCUAGCUCAAGCACCAAUGGAUUCAAGUGGUGAAAUGAUACCUUUGGGGCACUGCUCUUUCCUUGCCUGCUUUUGCUCUUUUUCCAUGUUGAUUUCCUUUUGAGAUAGGCUCUCUCCAUGCAUUGGUAAAGAUAGUACCUGUCAGCUUUGGGAUUAUUUGGUCUGUAGUAGUUUUUAUCUCAGAGAAAAAGAGAAUGCCCUGUACUUAUUUCCAGCAAAAAUCCUUCUGAUUGGCCUUGCUAUGUCAUGUGCCCAGCUUUGAACCAACCAGGCAACAGAGUGGUGCACUAUAGUCACUCCUGAAGCAGAGGUAGGGAAGCUCUUGGACUGAGAAUGAAAGUACUUGAAGGUUUCCACUUGGUAUGACAAUUUUUACAGAGGGGAUUUAGUAACUGAAAGUGAAAUGUAGAGUAUUCAUUCGUUUCAAAAGUUUAGCUUGUAUGUGUAAAUAAUAUUAUGGAUAUUCAUGUCCCUUUUCUAACCCUAGAAAAAGACACUGGAGACUGGCAUACUCAUGUAUCUUAAAUUUAAAACCUUUCACAUUUUUAAAAGGACAUUUGCAUUCACUGGUAACAUAAGUUAGCUGAACUCUAAUUAUAUUGAAGAAAUGAAAUCUGUUUGUUUAUUUCAGGCAAGACAUGUUGCCAACAGCUGUGCAGAGUUGUGAUGUGAUCUUCUCAAUGAACAAUCUAAGAGCCACUGAAUCUCACUGGACAAAAAUAAGUUCCAGAGGGAAAGACAGUAGCCCUAAAGGAGGAGACUCAGUAGAACCAGCGCCCAGCCAGAUGAACUGUCUCAACUAAGCCCCAACCAGGCCAACUGAUUCCUAACUCUUCUGCAGACAAGGGAUGGAAUGGAUCCCAUCGCACCAACCCAGUAGAGAGAGGCCAGCCUAGAUCUGUUGAGCCCAGCCACCAUGAAGAGGAAUGAGCUACACUGGUGCUUUUUGGUAUGUCCUACUGAUUUUGUUGUUGUUUGAUACAUAGUAAUGUUAUGACUUAACAGUACUAAAUUAUUUCCAAAGU
Molecule: long non-coding RNA, 1032 nt
Filed under: Felis catus (domestic cat)
Lineage: Eukaryota; Metazoa; Chordata; Mammalia; Carnivora; Felidae
Description: lncRNA (ENSFCAG00000053599.1)
Source: RNAcentral